AAUGAACGCUGGCGGCGCGCCUAAUACAUGCAAGUCGAGCGAGAAGACGUAGCAAUACGUUUGUAAAGCGGUGAACGGGUGAGGAAUACAUGGGUAACCUACCCUAGAGUGGGGAAUAACUAGCCGAAAGGUUAGCUAAUACCGCGUACGCUCCUUGGACUUCGGUUCAGGGAGGAAAGCGAUGCCGAGGGUAUCGCGCUCUUGGAUGGGCUCAUGUCCUAUCAGCUGUUGGUGAGGUAACGGCUCACCAAGGCUUCGACGGGUAGCUGGUCUGAGAGGACGAUCAGCCACACUGGCACUGCGACACGGGCCAGACUCCUACGGGAGGCAGCAGUAAGGAAUAUUGCGCAAUGGGCGAAAGCCUGACGCAGCGACGCCGC
RNAcentral lists this ribosomal RNA (380 nucleotides) under uncultured bacterium. RNAcentral describes it as "bacterial SSU rRNA". It matches the Rfam family "Bacterial small subunit ribosomal RNA", at positions 29 to 400 of the family's 1533-position model. The record is from RNAcentral.